CAUUACCAUUUGGAAAGACAGUAGCUGAGAUAACAAAUCACACAGUUUUAAUAAUUACUCCUGCAUUCCAGUUUUUUGUUUCCUGCAUAACUGCAAAGGCUGGAUUUCUUCCAAAUAAACAGAUAAAAACAGUAUGGAACUUUUAUCUUUUAAUGAUAAUGACAACACAUCAUGUUUCACUAAAAGUUUCCUGCUGGAUUUCCCCCCCCCCCUCCCCUCCCCACCCUGAUUUUCAGAGUUUCAAUAAAACGUAAUUAUACUUUAUAAUUCCGCUCUUUUAAUCUUCACUUCAAAAACUAUUCACAGUGAGCAAGUUUUGCCAGGCACAGGGAGGCAGAGCGGCCCUUCCCCACAUCGGGCUGCUCACAAAUUCUGUCUUGGGGUAAACCUGUCACCAAACGGCGCAACCCAAGCUGCUUUGCAUUCCGAUUAAUAGCCCGCCUCAUUUGAAUACAAAAUAGCCCCGUUUAUGUGGUUAUUAAAAAAAAAAAAAAAAAAAAAAGUAACAAAACCAUUUGGCAGCGAAAGGAUGUUUGAGCCAGGAUGCGUCUUUUCUGUCCUUAUUUCUUUUUCUUCUUCUUUUUUAAAUCCUGAAUGGAAUAUACUUUGGUGUCAGGACGCUUUCGUAUCGAUGGCGAGGCACUCAAAGCAGUGCCUAUAAGAACCAAAUGGGGAAUGCGUGCUCUGGGAGUCAGAAAGUUCUCGUUACCCCAAAACCUAAUCAGAUUUCAGGGGUUUUAGUAAGAGCAGAGAAGAGGAGGAGGGGAGGAAUGCGGCAAUUGCACCUUCCUCUCCCAACCCAAAAUAUCCAGACUUGAAGACCAUUCCUUGGAAAUUCAGACUGAGGCCACACAACAGCAGAGCCCAGCUGAUGCCAUCAACACAACUAGGAAUCUCUUAGCACUCACCUGCAAGCAAAUCUCCAUGUAAGUGAUGAGACUGGAGCCAAUACACGAACAAGAAGGAUCUGGGGACUCCCAAGCUCCCUUCCAAAGCCAGCAGAGUUGUAUGAGCUGCUACCUUAGCAUCUCCUUGGAGCUGGGCCAGCACAUCAAGGGUGAAGAGGAGUUGAAUCCUGCCUUUAGCUCUGGCCCUGGUUUUCCACGUGGGGUUCCUCUUCCAAUGAAUGCAGCCACACACCACUCCAGAUGUUCAAAGAGGGACCAGCCUCCCACAGACCCUAUGGGAAUGAUGAACAAAAGGACAGUGAGCAACGACGUGUCUUCAAAUCUUCAGUUCACAAGCCACCAUGAGCUGUUUGCCCUGUACGUUAUAGGAAGCAAAGCAUAAUCUCAGCUGGGUCACAGGUGAACAAGUAGGUGCUGUUGCCCUCAGGCAGCUUGACGGGAUACCAUCACCUACUGGACACAGCGUGUUAAAGAUGAACCUCCUUUAAAAUAGCUAAUGACCUUCAGCCUGCUAACUCCAUGUGUGCCCAGCUGCUUGUUAGAGGUCAAGAAAUGCCUGGUUAAAAGCUCCUGCCCCAACUCCCACCCAGCAUGGCCAAGUCUCCUGAGACUUGCUUGGCAGCCCAACCACAUAUGGAGCUGAAUCACAGUACACAUUCCUCCACUGGGGUCCUCUCAAUGUUAGGAGACGACAUGGCCUGCCCCAAUGGACAUGGGAAUAGUUUUUCCAGAAAACAUAUUGACAUAUAGGAAGAAAGUUCUCUGCAUCAGCCAAUGCAGAGCCCUCAAACAGGGGUAGGAUGCAUCCAAACUUGUAUUAUUAUUAUUUAAUAAACAAGUUAUUGUGCCUUUUUCUUGAAUCCACAAUAGGAAAAAGGUAGAUGUGGCACCGAGGGAUAUGGUUAGUGGACGUGGUGGGGAUAGGUUGAUGGCUGGGCUAGAUGGAAAAGAUCUUAGCGGUCUUUUCCAAACUUAAUGAUUUUAUGAUUCUAUGAAGGAAUAAAUCAAACGGCUUUUUGCAUCCAUCAUCUCUUUAGACAGGACUUGCACAGUGCUCUCAGCUGCUGAAAAGCCUCACUAACCUAAUCUAAGUGAAAAUUUAACAAUCAAA
Molecule: long non-coding RNA, 2019 nt
Filed under: Gallus gallus (chicken)
Lineage: Eukaryota; Metazoa; Chordata; Aves; Galliformes; Phasianidae
Description: lncRNA (ENSGALG00010020371.1)
Source: RNAcentral